RNAcentral lists this non-coding RNA (129 nucleotides) under unclassified sequences. RNAcentral describes it as "glnA RNA". It matches the Rfam family "Glutamine riboswitch aptamer (glnA leader)". The record is from RNAcentral. RNAcentral also lists the same sequence under 1 other name.
CACGUUCAUCUGGCACGAGUAAAAGUAGGUCAGACGGAAGUAGGCAGAUAAAAAUACAUCUCUUCAAAAAGAGAGGUUCGCAUCAAGCGUCCGCUUGUUGCAUUAAACAAUCUACCGAAGGAACGCAUU